GACGAACGCUGGCGGCGUGCUUAACACAUGCAAGUCGAGCGGUAAGGCUCCUUCGGGAGUACACGAGCGGCGAACGGGUGAGUAACACGUGAGCAAUCUGCCCUUCACUUUGGGAUAACUCCGGGAAACCGGUGCUAAUACCGAAUGCGACCACUUCAGGCAUCUGACGGUGGUGGAAAGUUCCGGCGGUGAAGGAUGAGCUCGCGGCCUAUCAGCUUGUUGGUGAGGUAAUGGCUCACCAAGGCUUCGACGGGUAGCCGGCCUGAGAGGGUGACCGGCCACACUGGGACUGAGACACGGCCCAGACUCCUACGGGAGGCAGCAGUGGGGAAUAUUGGACAAUGGGCGAAAGCCUGAUCCAGCAACGCCGCGUGAGGGAUGACGGCCUCGGUUGUAACGUACUUACUACGCAGGACGAAGACGAAGUAGACGGUACGU
Molecule: ribosomal RNA, 438 nt
Filed under: uncultured bacterium
Lineage: Bacteria
Description: bacterial SSU rRNA
Rfam family: Bacterial small subunit ribosomal RNA
Source: RNAcentral